Molecule: small nuclear RNA, 158 nt
Filed under: Sinocyclocheilus rhinocerous
Lineage: Eukaryota; Metazoa; Chordata; Actinopteri; Cypriniformes; Cyprinidae
Description: U1 spliceosomal RNA (ENSSRHG00000018349.1)
Rfam family: U1 spliceosomal RNA
About the family: U1 is a small nuclear RNA (snRNA) component of the spliceosome (involved in pre-mRNA splicing). Its 5' end forms complementary base pairs with the 5' splice junction, thus defining the 5' donor site of an intron. There are significant differences in sequence and secondary structure between metazoan and yeast U1 snRNAs, the latter being much longer (568 nucleotides as compared to 164 nucleotides in human).
Source: Rfam by way of RNAcentral
AUACUUACCUGGUAGGGGCGACUCCAUGAUCAGGCAGGUGGAUCGCCUAGAGUGAGCCAUUGCACUCCAGCUUUUCUGACCUCUAUGAAUUCUCCACAUGUGAGAAUAUCAACUGCAUAAUUUUUUGCUAGUGGGGACUGCAUUCGCGCUCUGCCUGA